GAUUGAACGCUGGCGGCAUGCUUUACACAUGCAAGUCGAACGGCAGCGCGGGCUUCGGCCUGGCGGCGAGUGGCGAACGGGUGAGUAAUGCAUCGGAACGUGCCCAGUAGUGGGGGAUAGCCCGGCGAAAGCCGGAUUAAUACCGCAUACGACCUGAGGGUGAAAGCGGGGGACCGAAAGGCCUCGCGCUAUUGGAGCGGCCGAUGUCGGAUUAGCUAGUUGGUGGGGUAAAGGCUUACCAAGGCGACGAUCCGUAGCUGGUCUGAGAGGACGACCAGCCACACUGGGACUGAGACACGGCCCAGACUCCUACGGGAGGCAGCAGUGGGGAAUUUUGGACAAUGGGGGCAACCCUGAUCCAGCCAUGCCGCGUGCGGGAAGAAGGCCUUCGGGUUGUAAACCGCUUUUGCUCGGGAAGAAAUCCUCUGGGCUAAUACCCCGGGGGGAUGACGGUACCGGAAGAAUAAGCACCGGCUAACUACGUG
This 485-nucleotide ribosomal RNA is filed under the name uncultured bacterium. RNAcentral's name for it is "partial 16S ribosomal RNA". It matches the Rfam family "Bacterial small subunit ribosomal RNA", at positions 27 to 507 of the family's 1533-position model. The record is from RNAcentral.